CCUACGGGGGACAGCAGUCGAGAAUCAUUCACAAUGGGGGAAACCCUGAUGGUGCGACGCCGCGUGGGGGAAUGAAGGUCUUCGGAUUGAAAACCCCUGGCAUGUGGGAGCAAAUUAAAAAGAUAGUACCACAAGAGGAAGAGACGCGUAACUCCGUGCAAGCAGCAGAGGUAAUACAGAGGUAGCAAGCGUUGUUCGGAAUCACUGGGCGUAAAGCGUGCGUAGGCUGUUUCGUAAGUCGUGUGUGAAAGGCGCGGGCUCAACCCGCGGACGGCACAUGAUACUGCGGGACUAGAGUGAUGGAGGGGGAACCGGAAUUCUCGGUGUAGCAGUGAAAUGCGUAGAUAUCGAGAGGAACACUCGUGGCGAAGGCGGGUUCCUGGACAUUAACUGACGCUGAGGCACGAAGGCCAGGGGAGCGAAAGGGAUUAGAUACCCUGGUAGUC
RNAcentral lists this ribosomal RNA (446 nucleotides) under uncultured bacterium. RNAcentral describes it as "partial 16S ribosomal RNA". It matches the Rfam family "Bacterial small subunit ribosomal RNA", at positions 338 to 795 of the family's 1533-position model. The record is from RNAcentral.